AAGAAUCUCCUGACUCGAAUUUCCCACAACACCCGUGGCCUUAUUUGCAUGAUUUUAUUAUUCUUUUCUAUUUACUUUUUUUUUUGGGAGUAAUUGAAAACAAGGUUUUGCGCACAUGAUAAUUUUAAUAGACGCCAGUGUUUUAUCAGUGACUAAAUAAUAUUAAUCUAUUAAUAGAUCGUUGUGCUAAGAAUAAAAUUAGUCUUUUAUAUAAACUCAGUUGAUUAAGCAAAAGUCUAAUGACAAAAAUGAUAACAGGACAUUAUAGCCAUAAUAUAUAUUAGAACUUUGGAUACUUAAAUACAUUUCAAGGCAAAUACUUUUGUACUUUUAUUCAAAUGAAAGUUUAAAUGGGGUCUCUGCUCCUUGGCAUUCAGAGAUUCUGAUGGGUGCAUUCUCGUUCUUUAAGUCAGUCCUUGACUUAAAGAACGAGAAUGCACCAAUGCAUUCUCUUUCUUUAACUCGUAAAGAGUGCCAUUAUGCAUAAGUUGCAUAGCACAGUGAAACUGCACAAAGAAACAACAUAACCAAUAAAUAUAACUCAUAUAGGGAAAAAUAUGAUAAACUGAAUUUCCAUGAAAAAGGAGAGAUUACACAUACAUACAUCAAGCACCUAUGUAAGUGAAAUAUUCACAGCGUAAUAUACAGUACAUCAUCACACACCUCGCUCCACUUCGCUAAAGGGCACUAAGGUGAAAAUGAGCAGACACAAGGCAAUUGCAAACAUCAAACUGUAGGAUUUAUUCUUUGAGCACCUUUAGAGGAACUUUUAGCUCUGCUGAACUGAUUACCUUUCAUUACCCCCUCCCUUCUACAUAAGACAAAUAAAAUUCUCAGAAUACAUUUAAAGUGGCAACCAUUUUUCUGUUAUUUACAAAGAGAGCAUAUUUAUGUAGUGAGGUCCUUUAUGGGGCCUUUUAUUUUAAAAUGUACUUUUGUUUUAAAAACAUAAAGAAAAGCGUAGCCCCUUUAAGAAGUAGGCCCCAGUGAGUGCAUUGCCCCUUUAAGAGGAAGUGUCCCAAUUAGCGUGAGCGAAUGAACAAACGCUUCGGAUUCCGUACGCUUAUAAAGUGUCUGAGCAGCUGUGAGGAAUGGUUGCUGCUUGAUUGUCUGUUUUUGUUUCAUCGGCAGAUUUCUUCUCUAAUCAGGCUGCGUUUAUCCUUCAUGUGCAAGUGUUGUGCAUUUAGUAAGAGGGUGAUCAGAUCUGCUCUUUGGCGGCUGGACUGUGGAUGUGCUGCUUGUUUGCCAUUUGAGUGUGGUAUUGCUGUGCAGGCCUGGUUAAACGGAGGGGAACUGCAUUUGGUCACUGCUGUCCUUCUUUACCCUUUAUUUUUGGGUUUUGUGAUUUAAUGUUUGUUUGGUGUUUUCUUUAUUUAAGGCACCCAUCAUGUUGUAUGGAUGCCGUGUUUAGCUGACUGUUAAAAAGACUAUAGGGAAUUGUUUGCAGAUAUUUUAUGGUAUGAUAACCAACUGAUUUUGUGCAUCUGUUCCUUUCCAGUGGAUCAUCUGGGAGCACUGGUUGGAUUGCGGGUGUUGGUCCUUUGAUGAUGGAAUCUGUGCUACGGUUUACACUGCAUGCUGUGUGAAUCUUAUGAGUUUACGGUGUGUGGCACUUUGCGUGGGUGUGCGUGCGUGUGUGUGUGUUGAUGUGUUUUCCUUUACAGGCACCAUUUUGGGUGAACCUUUUGGGGUUAAAGUGGGCCUGCACCUGUGGCCUGUCAGUCUUCCUUUGUAUCCACUGGAAUGUGUGGUGUUAAUUGGUAAUUGUAACAGUUGGUAUCCUUUUAAUAUGAUUCAUGUUGUAGUUUUAAAUAAAAUAAGGUAUUAAUAAUAAGGGUUUAUAUUUUAACUGAUUCUGGAAGUGUUGAGGAGGUUAAUAAAAAUCCAACACUAAAAUAAGAAA
Molecule: long non-coding RNA, 1903 nt
Organism: Silurus meridionalis
Lineage: Eukaryota; Metazoa; Chordata; Actinopteri; Siluriformes; Siluridae
Exons: 2
Source: RefSeq, a predicted model, not a curated record